RNAcentral lists this long non-coding RNA (1510 nucleotides) under Monodelphis domestica (gray short-tailed opossum). RNAcentral describes it as "lncRNA (ENSMODG00000050676.1)". The record is from RNAcentral. Lineage: Eukaryota; Metazoa; Chordata; Mammalia; Didelphimorphia; Didelphidae.
UCUGUUCAGCUAGGUUAUCAUUGACCAUAUGGGUUCACAAUGGGAGUAGAGCCCUCCUAGGCUGUCAGGCAGCAGUGGAUAGUUGGAAGCAGAGGGCUGGGAGAAGAGAGAAAGAAGGUGCCUCAGUGGAGGCAAAGUGACUGCUUGGAGCAAAAAAGGAAUCAUAGUUCAGGGAGGCCAGGAAGCCCUCCACAGAGAAGGAAAUGGCAAACCACUCCAGGAUAUUUGCCAAGAAAAACCCAUGGACAGUGUGUUGCCCUACUAUGGUCCAUGGAUCACCAAGAACAUCUGAACAACAACAAAUGAUGCCAGGGACUGGGCUAAGUGUUGUCCAGUUAUUAUUUCAUUGGAUCCUCAUGACCACUUUGGGAGGCAGACGCUCUCAUUAUCCCCCUUUUACAAUUGAGGAAAUUGAGUCAUUUCGGUCAUCUCCAACUCUUCAUGAUUCCAUUUGGGGUUUUCUUGGCAAAGAUACUGGAAUGGUUUGCAUUCCCUUCUCCAGCUCAUUUUAUAGAUGAGGAAACUGAGGCAAAUAGAACUGUCUCACAUCCUGAAAGCCUAAGGAUAUGACUGACUUCUGUAGUAACUUUUAGACACCAUGCAGUGAGACAACAUGGCCUUUUGGCAAACUCUGGUACUAGAUAGUAUCCCAAAGAAUGUUUUAUAGAAAGCAGUAAUCCAACACUCAGUAUGGAUUCCCAUAAGACUCUACUUCUCACCAGAUGCUAAAGUCCUAAUGCUUACUAUAGCAGAGGAAAAAAAAGAUGCACAUACCUCCAACUCUAAUGGAUGACCACAUUACUUUGAAAUAUUGUGUCAUGCAAAGAUCAUAAAAUCGUUGAUGUAGAACUGUAAGAAAUCUUUAAGGUCAGCUCACUGAUUUCCUUCAUUUUGUCCAAGACGGGGAAAGAAGUCAAUGCCCAGAGAAACUAUUCUAGCUCACACAAGGAGGAAGCAGAAGAACCUCUUAAACUCCCUGAGCUGCAGAAAUCCUUUUCAAUUUUAAAGUGCUGUGAUUUAGUCAUGAGAUCAGUGAAUAACUUCAUAGGCUAUUUUUGAAACAUUUUAACUUGGUCUUUCAGGAUAAAUAUUGCUGAAAUUGGCAGCCUAAAUAAGCAAGUGUUCAUUCUGUGUAUCUUUUGUCAACUUAAUUUCAAUGAUUGAUUGUAUUACAUAUAUGUUCAUCAAGAGAUUCCAAUAUUUUUAUUAUCAAGAAGCAAUUUUAUUCUAUUAAGGAGUAAUUUGCGUGCUAUGUUCACAUUGAAAUGUGUAUCUUUAUAACCAUAAAAAUAUCAAAAGCAUUCUAAUGAAUAUAAAUGUAUUUGGCUAUUAUUUGUUCACCUCUUAAUAAUUGGGACUUCCCUUCCCUUAACAAUAUCCACAUAUAAACAAACAUAUUUCUUAUACUUAGUUUCUAUGCAAAUAUAUUUUUUCUCAUUCUAGUAUGAAGUUAUUUGGAAAGAAGAAAAGGCAUAAUAAAACUAGAAUGUGACCUGUCUUGAAGUGGAAA